GAUGAACGCUGGCGGCGUGCCUAAUACAUGCAAGUCGGGCGAACAGAUAAGGAGCUUGCUCCUUUGACGUUAGCGGCGGACGGGUGAGUAACACGUGGAUAACCUACCUAUAAGACUGGGAUAACUUCGGGAAACCGGAGCUAAUACCGGAUAACAUAUUGAACCGCAUGGUUCAAUAGUGAAAGGCGGCUUUGCUGUCACUUAUAGAUGGAUCCGCGCCGUAUUAGCUAGUUGGUAAGGUAACGGCUUACCAAGGCAACGAUACGUAGCCGACCUGAGAGGGUGAUCGGCCACACUGGAACUGAGACACGGUCCAGACUCCUACGGGAGGCAGCAGUAGGGAAUCUUCCGCAAUGGGCGAAAGCCUGACGGAGCAACGCCGCGUGAGUGAUGAAGGUCUUCGGAUCGUAAAACUCUGUUAUCAGGGAAGAACAAAUGUGUAAGUAACUGUGCACAUCUUGACGGUACCUGAUCAGAAAGCCACGGCUAACUACGU
Molecule: ribosomal RNA, 496 nt
Filed under: uncultured bacterium
Lineage: Bacteria
Description: partial 16S ribosomal RNA
Rfam family: Bacterial small subunit ribosomal RNA
Source: RNAcentral